CCUACGGGCGGCAGCAGUAGGGAAUUUUCGGCAAUGGGGGGAACCCUGACCGAGCAACGCCGCGUGAAGGAAGAAGGACUUCGUUCUGUAAACUUCUGUUAUAAAGGAAGAAAGACGGAUGGAGGAAAUGACAUCCGAGUGACGGUACUUUAUGAGAAAGCCACGGCUAACUACGUGCCAGCAGCCGCGGUAAUACGUAGGUGGCAAGCGUUAUCCGGAAUUAUUGGGCGUAAAGGGGGAGCAGGCGGCAGCAAAGGUCUGUGGUGAAAGACUGAAGCGUAACUUCAGUAAGCCAUGGAAAUCGGGAAGCUAGAGGGGAGGAGAGGAGGGUGGAAUGCGAGGUGUAGCGGGGAAAUGCGUAGAUAUAGGGAGGAACACCAGUGGCGAAGGCGGCGAGCUGGACUGCAACUGACGCUCAGUCCCGAAAGCGUGGGGAGCAAAUAGGAUGAGAUACCCCUGUAGUC
This 464-nucleotide ribosomal RNA is filed under the name uncultured bacterium. RNAcentral's name for it is "partial 16S ribosomal RNA". It matches the Rfam family "Bacterial small subunit ribosomal RNA", at positions 338 to 795 of the family's 1533-position model. The record is from RNAcentral.